Molecule: ribosomal RNA, 590 nt
Filed under: Pichia kluyveri
Lineage: Eukaryota; Fungi; Ascomycota; Pichiomycetes; Pichiales; Pichiaceae
Description: eukaryotic LSU rRNA
Rfam family: Eukaryotic large subunit ribosomal RNA
Source: RNAcentral
GGAAAAGAAACCAACAGGGAUUGCCUCAGUAGCGGCGAGUGAAGCGGCAAGAGCUCAGAUUUGAAAUCUCACCUAGUGUGCGAGUUGUAAAUUGCAGGUUGGAGUCUCGGGUUAGACGUGUGUGCAAGUCCCUUGGAACAGGGUGCCACUGAGGGUGAGAGCCCCGUAUCGUGCAUGUCGACACCUGUGAGGCCCUUCUGACGAGUCGAGUUGUUUGGGAAUGCAGCUCUAAGUGGGUGGUAAAUUCCAUCUAAGGCUAAAUAUUGGCGAGAGACCGAUAGCGAACAAGUACUGUGAAGGAAAGAUGAAAAGCACUUUGAAAAGAGAGUGAAACAGCACGUGAAAUUGUUGAAAGGGAAGGGUAUUGGGCUCGACAUGGGAUUUACGCAUCGUUGCCUCUCGUGGGCGGCGCUCUGGGUUUUUCCUGGGCCAGCAUCGGUUUUCGUUGCAGGAUAAGGACAAUUGGAAUGUGGCUCCUCGGAGUGUUAUAGCCUUUUGUAGAUGCUGCGUAUGGGGACCGAGGGCUGCGGCGGACUCGUUUCGUCUCGGAUGCUGGCACAACGGCGCAAUACCGCCCGUCUUGAAACAUG